Molecule: ribosomal RNA, 3064 nt
Filed under: Campylobacter jejuni
Lineage: Bacteria; Pseudomonadati; Campylobacterota; Epsilonproteobacteria; Campylobacterales; Campylobacteraceae
Description: 23S ribosomal RNA
Rfam family: Bacterial large subunit ribosomal RNA
Source: RNAcentral
GUAAGCUACUAAGAGCGAAUGGUGGAUGCCUUGACUGGUAAAGGCGAUGAAGGACGUACUAGACUGCGAUAAGCUACGGGGAGCUGUCAAGAAGCUUUGAUCCGUAGAUUUCCGAAUGGGGUAACCCAAUGUAUAGAGAUAUACAUUACCUAUAUAGGAGUGAACGAGGGGAAUUGAAACAUCUUAGUACCUUCAGGAAAAGAAAUCAAUAGAGAUUGCGUCAGUAGCGGCGAGCGAAAGCGCAAGAGGGCAAACCCAGUGCUUGCACUGGGGGUUGUAGGACUGCAAUGUGCAAGAGGUAAGUUUAGCAGAACAUUCUGGAAAGUAUAACCAUAGAGGGUGAUAGUCCCGUAUGCGAAAAACAAACCUUAGCUAGCAGUAUCCUGAGUAGGGCGGGACACGAGGAAUCCUGUCUGAAUCCGGGUCGACCACGAUCCAACCCUAAAUACUAAUACCAGAUCGAUAGUGCACAAGUACCGUGAGGGAAAGGUGAAAAGAACUGAGGUGAUCAGAGUGAAAUAGAACCUGAAACCAUUUGCUUACAAUCAUUCAGAGCCCUAUGUAGCAAUACAGGGUGAUGGACUGCCUUUUGCAUAAUGAGCCUGCGAGUUGUGGUGUCUGGCAAGGUUAAGCAAACGCGAAGCCGUAGCGAAAGCGAGUCUGAAUAGGGCGCUUAGUCAGAUGCUGCAGACCCGAAACGAAGUGAUCUAUCCAUGAGCAAGUUGAAGCUAGUGUAAGAACUAGUGGAGGACUGAACCCAUAGGCGUUGAAAAGCCCCGGGAUGACUUGUGGAUAGGGGUGAAAGGCCAAUCAAACUUCGUGAUAGCUGGUUCUCUCCGAAAUAUAUUUAGGUAUAGCGUUGUGUCGUAAUAUAAGGGGGUAGAGCACUGAAUGGGCUAGGGCAUACACCAAUGUACCAAACCCUAUCAAACUCCGAAUACCUUAUAUGUAAUCACAGCAGUCAGGCGGCGAGUGAUAAAAUCCGUCGUCAAGAGGGAAACAACCCAGACUACCAGCUAAGGUCCCUAAAUCUUACUUAAGUGGAAAACGAUGUGAAGUUACUUAAACAACCAGGAGGUUGGCUUAGAAGCAGCCAUCCUUUAAAGAAAGCGUAAUAGCUCACUGGUCUAGUGAUUUUGCGCGGAAAAUAUAACGGGGCUAAAGUAAGUACCGAAGCUGUAGACUUGCACACAACUUAGAUUAUUUAAGUUUAGAAUAUGAGAAACUAAGUUAUAUGUUUAGUUAUAUUUUUACUGAUUUUUAUAGAGUAAAGAUAGAAAUAAAACUUAGUAAAAUCAGUAAAAAUAUUCUUAGGCUAAAGUUAAGUAGUUUAAGUUGUGUGCAAGUGGUAGGAGAGCGUUCUAUUUGCGUCGAAGGUAUACCGGUAAGGAGUGCUGGAGCGAAUAGAAGUGAGCAUGCAGGCAUGAGUAGCGAUAAUUAAUGUGAGAAUCAUUAACGCCGUAAACCCAAGGUUUCCUACGCGAUGCUCGUCAUCGUAGGGUUAGUCGGGUCCUAAGUCGAGUCCGAAAGGGGUAGACGAUGGCAAAUUGGUUAAUAUUCCAAUACCAACAUUAGUGUGCGAUGGAAGGACGCUUAGGGCUAAGGGGGCUAGCGGAUGGAAGUGCUAGUCUAAGGUCGUAGGAGGUUAUACAGGCAAAUCCGUAUAACAAUACUCCGAGAACUGAAAGGCUUUUUGAAGUCUUCGGAUGGAUAGAAGAACCCCUGAUGCCGUCGAGCCAAGAAAAGUUUCUAAGUUUAGCUAAUGUUGCCCGUACCGUAAACCGACACAGGUGGGUGGGAUGAGUAUUCUAAGGCGCGUGGAAGAACUCUCUUUAAGGAACUCUGCAAAAUAGCACCGUAUCUUCGGUAUAAGGUGUGGUUAGCUUCGUACUAGGAUUUACUCCGAAAGCGAAGAAACUUACAACAAAGAGUCCCUCCCGACUGUUUACCAAAAACACAGCACUCUGCUAACUCGUAAGAGGAUGUAUAGGGUGUGACGCCUGCCCGGUGCUCGAAGGUUAAUUGAUGGGGUUAGCAUUAGCGAAGCUCUUGAUCGAAGCCCGAGUAAACGGCGGCCGUAACUAUAACGGUCCUAAGGUAGCGAAAUUCCUUGUCGGUUAAAUACCGACCUGCAUGAAUGGCGUAACGAGAUGGGAGCUGUCUCAAAGAGGGAUCCAGUGAAAUUGUAGUGGAGGUGAAAAUUCCUCCUACCCGCGGCAAGACGGAAAGACCCCGUGGACCUUUACUACAGCUUGACACUGCUACUUGGAUAAGAAUGUGCAGGAUAGGUGGGAGGCUUUGAGUAUAUGACGCCAGUUGUAUAUGAGCCAUUGUUGAGAUACCACUCUUUCUUAUUUGGGUAGCUAACCAGCUUGAGUUAUCCUCAAGUGGGACAAUGUCUGGUGGGUAGUUUGACUGGGGCGGUCGCCUCCCAAAUAAUAACGGAGGCUUACAAAGGUUGGCUCAGAACGGUUGGAAAUCGUUCGUAGAGUAUAAAGGUAUAAGCCAGCUUAACUGCAAGACAUACAAGUCAAGCAGAGACGAAAGUCGGUCUUAGUGAUCCGGUGGUUCUGUGUGGAAGGGCCAUCGCUCAAAGGAUAAAAGGUACCCCGGGGAUAACAGGCUGAUCUCCCCCAAGAGCUCACAUCGACGGGGAGGUUUGGCACCUCGAUGUCGGCUCAUCGCAUCCUGGGGCUGGAGCAGGUCCCAAGGGUAUGGCUGUUCGCCAUUUAAAGCGGUACGCGAGCUGGGUUCAGAACGUCGUGAGACAGUUCGGUCCCUAUCUGCCGUGGGCGUAAGAAGAUUGAAGAGAUUUGACCCUAGUACGAGAGGACCGGGUUGAACAAACCACUGGUGUAGCUGUUGUUCUGCCAAGAGCAUCGCAGCGUAGCUAAGUUUGGAAAGGAUAAACGCUGAAAGCAUCUAAGCGUGAAGCCAACUCUAAGAUGAAUCUUCUCUAAGCUCUCUAGAAGACUACUAGUUUGAUAGGCUGGGUGUGUAAUGGAUGAAAGUCCUUUAGCUGACCAGUACUAAUAGAGCGUUUGGCUUAUCUUUAAUAAAGCAU